RNAcentral lists this ribosomal RNA (499 nucleotides) under uncultured bacterium. Its description in RNAcentral is "bacterial SSU rRNA". It matches the Rfam family "Bacterial small subunit ribosomal RNA", at positions 28 to 530 of the family's 1533-position model. The record is from RNAcentral.
GACGAACGCUGGCGGCGUGCCUAACACAUGCAAGUCGAGCGGAGAUAAGCAGAAGGUAACUGAAGUUUGUCUUAGCGGCGGACGGGUGAGUAACACGUGGGCAACCUGCCUCGGAGUGGGGGAUAACACCGGGAAAUCGGUGCUAAUACCGCAUAACAUACAUUGACUGCAUGGUUGAUGUAUCAAAGGAGCAAUCCGCUUUGAGAUGGGCCCGCGGCUGAUUAGCUAGUUGGUAAGGUAAAGGCUUACCAAGGCGACGAUCAGUAGCCGACCUGAGAGGGUGACCGGCCACACUGGAACUGAGACACGGUCCAGACUCCUACGGGAGGCAGCAGUGGGGAAUAUUGCGCAAUGGGGGAAACCCUGACGCAGCAACGCCGCGUGGAGGAAGAAGGUCUUCGGAUUGGUAAACUCCUGUCUUCUGGGAAGAUAAUGACGGUACCAGAGGAGGAAGCCACGGCUAACUACGUGCCAGCAGCCGCGGUAAUCAUACUCGUAC